GCGGCGGGCCGGCCAGUGAGUGCGCUGGAGCGAGGCCGGCGGCUACCCGGGCCGGCUGGGCCCUGCACCCGCCUGCCCGCCCGCAUCUCCGCAGGCCCGGCCGGGCCGGGGCGGCGGCCGGAGCCGCGAGGGCCGGUUCCUCUCCCCCGCGGAUGGGGAAAUGGAGGCCCAGAGAGGUUGAGUGACUUGUCAGAGUCACCCAGCUAGGAAGUAUCAGAGCUGGGGUUCACAUCCUGCUGAACUGGCUGAGGAGUUGGGGUCUCCUAGCCCCAGGGCUCUUAACAUAAGCAAGACCUUUGCUUACUGAACACAGGGCCAGCCUCAUGGGUGUGACCUGUGCAGUUCUGAGUCUUCCCUGCCUCAGAAGGACUAGGAGCUUCAUUCAUGCUCAGCUGCCAAUGCCUUGAAAUUCUUAAUUUGCAAACCAGGUGCUCCAAGUCUUCAUUUUGCACUGAGACCCAUGCUGAGCUCUUGAACUAAAAGUCUCUCCAAGAAGCCACCUCACUGUGCUAUGAGGUAGAGGCCCUUGACUCUAUUUUACAGAUGGGGAAACUGAGGCUUGGAAAGCAUUUUGGAAAUUACCCCUCCAGCCUGGGUCCGGUGUCCUGGGUGGGGGUGUGCCCCAGGGUGGUGGGGAAAGCUGGGUGCCCACUGCCAGCAUCCGCUUUGGUGGGGUGCGGGUGAGGCCUGGCUGCCGAGGAGACGGGGCCAUGGCGGGGGGGAGGCCCUGGUGGUUUCCUCCUGCCCUUCAGGCUUCUAGGAAGUGGCGCCAGCUGGGGUGAGCUCACUUCCUCAGCCGCCUGCCCGCCACCCUCUCGGCUUCCUCUCUUCAUGGCCCCAUUUAGCCUGCCCAGGGCUGGGGGGCUGGCCAGGAAAACAGGAGACCUGGAUCUGGGCGUUCCUGCAGCGUCCUCCAGGCACCUCUACUUCUCCAGGCCUAGGAUUGAGGACAUGACUGGGGCAGGGGGUGUCUAGCUGGUGGCCCAGCUCUCCCUUAGCUGCUGCUGCUGCUGCAUACGGGAGAGGGUGUCCCUGUAAGGUCUCAGAGGGUGGCGGCAGGUGGGGACCUGCAGGCAGAUGUCCUCAAACCUCAUGACCUCCUUUGCUCUCUCUCUGUCUCCCCCAGGUGCCAGCCACUGACCCCACCCGGCGUCCCCCUACCCCUGUGCCAUGGCCGGCUGGGGUUCCUGGGGAUGGGAUUUGCUGCCUGUCACAAAUCACAUUGCCAGGGAUUUCCAACCGACCCUGAGCCCUGCCUCUGGGGCUGCCACCACCACUGCCGAGGACACAGCCUGGGGAUGGGGAUGGGGCAGCAGAGAGGCCCCGGCCACUGGUGUCUGGCCUGGGGAGCAGGGCUUAGCUGCUUGUGAGCAGAGUCCACACUAAGUCGUGUUCACAGUGGCUAAGUUCCGCCCCCCGCGCCCCUGCCUCCUCCAGCCCCGCCGCCUCUCUCCCUGACUGUCCCGUUGCCCAGGCCUCCCUGGGCUCUGCCUCCCGUGCCUACUGAGCUGAAACACAGUUGAUUUGUGCACACUGGCUCAGUUCAGCAGGAACAGGAGUCGAGCCCCCUUGAAGCCUGCGGCCCCUGCCUCCCUUGGGUGAGCUGAUGCCUAGGGGCAAGAGACAAGGACCCAGACCCAGGCCUGUGUCUGGAGGAGGCACUGGGGAGGGAUGGUGCCUGGGAUGGGGUGGGUAGACCCAGCUGUUUGCUGUAGGUCCCACCUUCCAGCUCUGUAGUUGGGGACACCCCCACAGUCCUGCCUAUAGCUGGGCUGCGAUCCCAGGGAGAACAGGUAGGAGGGGGGUGGCCUUUCCAUGGAAAAAGGGAAGACAGCUGUGUCCCCACCUGGAUGACCUGCCUAUCCUGGAAGCUUGGCCCCUCCUCUCCCAAGUCUGGUGGGGGCGAGGGCCAGGCAUGCACCUUCCCAGCAGCUAGUUACCCAAGAGGAAGCUGCCUUGGGCCCCCAGACCGUUAAGUGCCAACUCCGGGCUUCCGGAACCAGGCCGUCCUGACCUGCAUGUGCCUGGCCCCUUCUCCCUGAACCCUGUAGCUUCCUAACUUGGGGACAGGAGCUGUCACAGCCUCCCAGCACAUGGUGGGGGGAAUGAGGUCUGUGUGGGCCCAGAAAGAACAUAAGCACUUCUCCCAGGGCAUGGAAAAGUUGAAACUCUGUCCACUAUCAUCUGGGAUGGGGCUCUUUUUGGGGUGGAACUGGGGAGCAGGGUGAAGCCCUUCAGGGCUGGCCCAGCGGGUCCCUUCCCCACUGGUGUCAGGACAGACAGAAGCUCAGGGUAGAGCCGCUGCUGUGUGUUAAACCUGUUGUCUAAUUAAAUAAAAACAGCCCCUGCCUCAUUCCUGAA
Manis pentadactyla (Chinese pangolin) is the source of this 2361-nucleotide long non-coding RNA. RefSeq lists it as uncharacterized. The record is from RefSeq and is a predicted model, not a curated record. The transcript has 2 exons. NCBI's taxonomy places the organism in Eukaryota, Metazoa, Chordata, Mammalia, Pholidota, Manidae.